CCUGGAAACAGAUGCUAAUACCGGAUAACAACACUAGACGCAUGUCUAGAGUUUAAAAGAUGGUUCUGCUAUCACUCUUGGAUGGACCUGCGGUGCAUUAGCUAGUUGGUAAGGUAACGGCUUACCAAGGCAAUGAUGCAUAGCCGAGUUGAGAGACUGAUCGGCCACAUUGGGACUGAGACACGGUCCAAACUCCUACGGGAGGCAGCAGC
RNAcentral lists this ribosomal RNA (212 nucleotides) under uncultured bacterium. RNAcentral's name for it is "partial 16S ribosomal RNA". It matches the Rfam family "Bacterial small subunit ribosomal RNA", at positions 149 to 355 of the family's 1533-position model. The record is from RNAcentral.